RNAcentral lists this long non-coding RNA (4829 nucleotides) under Brassica napus (rape). RNAcentral describes it as "long non-coding RNA (BNAP_LNC008096)". Lineage: Eukaryota; Viridiplantae; Streptophyta; Magnoliopsida; Brassicales; Brassicaceae. The record is from RNAcentral.
GGGUAAACCCGGAAACCCGAAGAGUAACGCGGGUGGGCCUUAUCUUCAUCUUCCUCACCACACACACAACAAACACGCACACUCGUGGAUUUCAAACUUUGAGAGUAAUCUCAUCGGGACCUUUAUGAUCUCAUCGAACAUGCUUCUCCAUACGCUAUCGUCAUCGUCUCCACCCAUUCACCGCCUCUACCUCCACCAUUCUCAGAUUCUCCCUUCUUCUUCCUCUGUGUCUCUCAAGUUCCAUCCCAAAACGAUUUCUUUACAGGUAAACACUCCAACUUUCUCUCAAAGAAUCUGACUUUAUUGCAAUAUUAGAGAAUUCAAUUGGCUAAUCUUCCUCCAUGUUCUUUAAACGUGUGGAUGAAGGCAGAUACAUGGAAGGACUUUAGCUAUACGAUCUGCAGAACUUGCUGCUAGAGGGCUACCUUCUUUGAAGAAGCUGCCAAGCAAAGGAUCUACCUUUCUGCUGGGACAGAGCUUGUUGAUGGUCUCUGCUUAUCCAAACAUGGCAUCAGCGUCAGAGAGCGUGAAGCAUGAACCGGUUUACGAAGUUGGAGAGUUGUUUGAAUUAGGUAUUCAGCUUUCUUACUUGCUGUUGCUACUGGGUUUGCUCGGAGUUGGUACUUUCUAUGUGAUUCGUCAAGUACUUGUCCGCAGAGAGCUUGACCUCUCUGCCAAAGAGCUACAGGUAUUGAUUCUGAUCCCAAGUAUUAACCUUUGUGUUAGAAAUAGAAAAUUAGAUGAAAGGCCAGUAGAGAACUGAUGAAAUAAUAUUUGAUGUCUCUGAAUGUUUUUAGCAAACCAAUGUUAUUAGACUGAUUCAAGUAAGUAGCCAUGCUUAGACAGACUUUAAAACAUCUGAUCAAAACUGUUUUAUAUGGUUUUUGUGUUUGUCUGAAUAAUCUGAAGGAGCAAGUUAGGAGCGGGGAUGCAAGUGCAACAGAGCUCUUUGAGCUGGGUGCAGUGAUGCUGAGACGCAAAUUUUAUCCUGCAGCCAACAAGUUCUUGCUUCAAGCUAUCCAGAAAUGGGACGGUGACGAUCAAGAUCUUGCUCAGGUAAUAAUACAAAUUAAUUUACACACACAAGCACACACUGUUUCCAUCAAGUACAAAUGAUGAGUACAAUUCUCGAGACAGGUCUAUAACGCUCUUGGAGUGAGUUAUGUCCGAGAGGACAAACUGGACAAAGGAAUCGCUCAGUUUGAAAUGGCGGUGAAAAUUCAGCCUGGUUAUGUAACGGCUUGGAACAACCUUGGAGAUGCUUAUGAGAAGAAGAAGGAGCUGCCUUUGGCGUUGAAAGCGUUUGAAGAGGUUUUGUUGUUUGAUCCUAACAAUAAGGUGGCUCGGCCUCGCCGAGAUGCGUUGAAGGAUCGUGUUAAACUCUAUAAAGGCGUUGUGGCGGUCAAGUCCAAGAAACGGUGACGAAAAACCGAUAAACCAAGAACUCCCCCUCGUCUCUCUUAUGUUAUUUUUGUAAGGACAUUUUGUGUUAUUAUUAUGAAUAUGAAACUUGUUUACUGUUUUUACUCUUAACAAUAAAUCACUCAUCUUAUUAUUCAGAUAUCGAUACAAUGUUUAUAAAUAAUGAUAACAUGAUGAGAAAUAAGGUCACGCAAGAUACUAAAGAAGCAACAACGUAAAUAGAAGAUGUUCAGUGCAUGUAACAUAGAGGUUUUUGUUGUCUCAAGGACACUUGAGCUUAUUGCCGUGAGUACGGAGAUUAGCGUAGCAAGGACAUGAUGCUGUGUUGCCUGAGGUUCCGGGCGGCACGCACUGGCACUUGGCACAGCAACUUCCACAAGCUCUGUAACACACUUUCUUCCUCGACGUCUCUCUGCAUCUCCUCGCGCACGCAUACCCACAAUCUGCAAAUAUUUGGCUCAUACAUUAAUCAAAAAGUUGUUUGGCAAAAUAAAAGAAGAAGACUUAGAAUGUUACUAACUGAAUGGUGGACGAUGAUGGUAUGUUCUCUUAAACGCCUCCACUUGGUUCUCCUCGUUCGUCUGAAUCUAUAAGCAACACAAGAAACCGAGUUUAUUUGAUAUGGAAAGCUUGUUUUAAUAUGUUUUUAUUAUUUUUAUUUACCUGAGAAGCAGAGGAAGUUUCAGCGUUGCUGGACGAAGAUAGAUCUGCAAGUACCUGUGAAAGAAUCAGACAAGAACGUCUCAGUGUUUUUAGUUAGUAUGUUUGCAACAAAGAGAAGCUAAAUCUUGAACAAUGUUUUGAUCAUUUUUACCUGAGAAAGCAGAAGAAGAGAGAUGAGCAUAACAAAGGCCACCACUUUCAUCUUCUCCAUCUUGUCGGUUUUGAAGUAGUUUGUGAAAAUAGAAGCUGUGGAUGGUUCUUUAUAUAGACACAAUGUAGCUAUUUUGUCUUCUUCCUCUUUUCUUUUGUUGAGUGAAAAAAAAACCUCAUGUUGAUAGGUAUCACAUGCAAUAGGCUUUCAUCGCUGGACUAGACAUAAAUCACAGAUAUUAGAUUGAGUUUUGCUGUAAAGUGUUGGUGUUUGAUGCAACAGUUUUGAUUGGUCUUUGAGGAUAUAUCUAAUUUAUUACGCAAGGACGAAGAAGAAAAUUCAAACCUUGUUCACUGAAAUCUAAAUCAAGCUUAAAUACAUGAAAUGAGUGUAAAUUUACAGUAAAAAUAUAUAGGCUGGUUUUAACAAGGUACUGUAAUGUGUGUGACUUCACUGACUUGUCGACACACGUAUGGAGAGACAAGUGUACUUAAAGUGUAUAAAGAAAGAGGCAAUUAGGUAGUUUGAAAAUUAAUGUCUUAAUGAUAUCUUUGCCAUAAGAGUGUUAUAACAGCUGUCUCUUAGUUCAGACAUAGAACAGCUGAGAGAGAUAGAUGAAGAAAAACGCAUGCAGACGCAAUGUUGUUCGAAAAAGCAGAUGGCAAUGUUUGGCUCCGAUUGGUGAAAACGUAAUAUUAUUACUGUCUUCUAUAAACCACAUUCAAAAUUUCCAAACGCGCAUGAUGAGACUUUAAACGGAGAACGAAACCGAAUAACUACUUAGGCCACGAUUGUUUAUUUGCAUAAUUGCGUCUGUGUUGGUGUUUUCAUGUUAUAGGGAUCAAUAUGUAAGUUCAAACGCAAAGCUUUAUAUAAAUUUAUAUAGUUGAUAGGUUAUAUGCAUUUAAUACGGACAGAUUCGCAAGUUAAUAACUUAUUGAGAUGACUUAAUAUGAUUUUUACAAGUCAUCUCAAUUUUUUUUUAAACACUUAUUGAGAUGAUUUUACAAGUCACCGAUAUUAAUACAUGGGGUUUCAUCGACCAUACGGAAUAUGCAAUAAUAAUUUGAAACUAAAGAUUUGUAUGUUUCGUCUCAACAGGACUUUCUCUAGGUGUUCUGAAUCUGGCUAUUGUCGUCCCACAGGUAAAGAAAACGUUUGAAAUCAGUUUUAUUUAAUUAUUUACAAAAAAUGUUCACAUCCUGAUAUGUAUUUGUUGUUUCAUUAAAACGUAGAUGGUGGUAUCUGUGGGAGGUGGACCAUUCGAUGAACUAUUCCAUGGUGGAAACAUUCCGGCGUUUGUGCUAGGAGCAAUUGCGGCCGCGGUGAGUGGCAUAUUGGCUUUAACCGUGUUGCCUUCGCCGCCACCGGAUGCUCCAGCUUUCAAAACUGGGGCUAUGGGAUUUCAUUAAAGUUUUAGCAGUGUUUCAGUGGCUAUGUAACUCUCAUAAAACUGUAGUGUUAUUGUGCAAAUCCUACAUAAAGAGAAAAAAGGAAAUUCAUCUUCUUGGGUUGUUGGUUUAUAUUGUACCUAAACCCAUUGUGUUCCUUUUUUGUAACUGAAAUUUUCAAUUUGGAGUAUAUUUCACCUUUUGCCACCUUCAAGGCUUCAUUAUUACUACUUCAUUGUUUUGGAUCUUUCAGUCAUAUCUCACACAAGAAGAAUUGUAUUGUUUUUUUUGUUUCAUAAUAAAACUUAAAAUGUAAUAAUUAAUCUAGAAGAAUAAUUAUUUUUGAUGGUUUUCUUUUUUUUGUCAAGUGUAUUAGAAAUUUAGAACCGAGUUGAGUUAUACAUGUAAUUAAUAAAUACUUUUUAAAAUUCCAAAAAUGCAUUAUGUUACCUUACUCGUAGUUAUAAAUAAGCCUCUUUAGCUAUUACAUCGGCUUCACGUACAAUUUUCCUCACAAAUACAAAAGCUAAAAUCAGGAUGAGCUAGGCUGAUACUAUCUUUGGUGAGUAUAGCUACAGACUGGUUCUUUCAACCGUAAGAUAUAUCCUGAUGAAGAAAUUGUCUCCUACAACAGAUCAAACACACACAAGUUUAGUACAUUAAUUCUUCACGAGCUCCUGAUCUGCAGAUCUGAAUUUAAUAUUCGGAUUAUAAAACCUAUAACUAGUGUCUUAUUAAUAACGUUAGUCAGGUGUAGACCACCAUCAGUUCAGGACGCAAUCUGAUUGUAAAGCUGAUUUAUUGUUGCAAUAUAGUUUUCACAUUACAAAAAAAAAAGCACAAAAUGAUGAAUAUACACUUUUAUGUUUAGAGCAAUAAAAAUAAAUAAAAUAUGCAGAUUAAAAUUCUAAUAAAGAGAAAGAGAGAGAGUCCGGGCGGGGUAAACCCGGAAACCCGAAGAGUAACGCGGGUGGGCCUUAUCUUCAUCUUCCUCACCACACACACAACAAACACGCACACUCGUGGAUUUCAAACUUUGAGAGUAAUCUCAUCGGGACCUUUAUGAUCUCAUCGAACAUGCUUCUCCAUACGCUAUCGUCAUCGUCUCCACCCAUUCACCGCCUCUACCUCCACCAUUCUCAGAUUCUCCCUUCCUCUUCCUCUGUGUCUCUCAAGUUCCAUCCCAAAACGAUUUCUUUACA